UAGGGAAUCUUGCACAAUGGGCGAAAGCCUGAUGCAGCGACGCCGCGUGGGGGAUGAAGGCCUUCGGGUUGUAAACCCCUUUCAGUAGGGACGAAAAUGACGGUACCUACAGAAGAAGCUCCGGCCAACUACGUGCCAGCAGCCGCGGUAACACGUAGGGAGCAAGCGUUGUCCGGAUUUAUUGGGCGUAAAGAGCUCGUAGGUGGUUCAGUAAGUCGGAUGUGAAAACUCAGGGCUCAACUCUGAGACGCCAUCCGAUACUGCUGUGACUUGAGUUCGGUAGAGGAGUGUGGAAUUCCUGGUGUAGCGGUGAAAUGCGCAGAUAUCAGGAGGAACACCAACAGCGAAGGCAGCACUCUGGGCCGACACUGACACUGAGGAGCGAAAGCGUGGGGAGCAAACAGGAUUAGAUACCCCCGUAGUCC
Molecule: ribosomal RNA, 425 nt
Filed under: uncultured prokaryote
Description: bacterial SSU rRNA
Rfam family: Bacterial small subunit ribosomal RNA
Source: RNAcentral